Molecule: ribosomal RNA, 798 nt
Filed under: uncultured beta proteobacterium
Lineage: Bacteria; Pseudomonadati; Pseudomonadota; Betaproteobacteria
Description: bacterial SSU rRNA
Rfam family: Bacterial small subunit ribosomal RNA
Source: RNAcentral
AGAGUUUGAUCCUGGCUCAGAUUGAACGCUGGCGGCAUGCCUUACACAUGCAAGUCGAACGGCAGCACGGGAGCAAUCCUGGUGGCGAGUGGCGAACGGGUGAGUAAUAUAUCGGAACGUGCCCAGUCGUGGGGGAUAACGCAGCGAAAGCUGUGCUAAUACCGCAUACGAUCUAUGGAUGAAAGCGGGGGACUCGCAAGAGCCUCGCGCGAUUGGAGCGGCCGAUAUCAGAUUAGCUAGUUGGCGGGGUAAAAGCCCACCAAGGCGACGAUCUGUAGCUGGUCUGAGAGGACGACCAGCCACACUGGAACUGAGACACGGUCCAGACUCCUACGGGAGGCAGCAGUGGGGAAUUUUGGACAAUGGGCGAAAGCCUGAUCCAGCAAUGCCGCGUGCAGGAUGAAGGCCUUCGGGUUGUAAACUGCUUUUGUACGGAACGAAACGGUCUGUCCUAAUACGAUGGGCUAAUGACGGUACCGUAAGAAUAAGCACCGGCUAACUACGUGCCAGCAGCCGCGGUAAUACGUAGGGUGCGAGCGUUAAUCGGAAUUACUGGGCGUAAAGCGUGCGCAGGCGGUUAUGUAAGACAGAUGUGAAAUCCCCGGGCUCAACCUGGGACCUGCAUUUGUGACUGCAUAGCUAGAGUACGGUAGAGGGGGAUGGAAUUCCGCGUGUAGCAGUGAAAUGCGUAGAUAUGCGGAGGAACACCGAUGGCGAAGGCAAUCCCCUGGACCUGUACUGACGCUCAUGCACGAAAGCGUGGGGAGCAAACAGGAUUAGAUACCCUGGUAGUCCACG